Molecule: ribosomal RNA, 484 nt
Filed under: uncultured bacterium
Lineage: Bacteria
Description: partial 16S ribosomal RNA
Rfam family: Bacterial small subunit ribosomal RNA
Source: RNAcentral
AUUGAACGCUGGCGGCAGGCCUAACACAUGCAAGUCGAGCGGAUGAAGGGAGCUUGCUCCUGGAGUCAGCGGGGGAAGGGGGAGUAAUGCAUAUGAAUAUGCUUCGCAGUGGGGGAGAACGUCUGGAAACGGGCGCUAAUACUGCAGACGUGCAGAGGGAGAAAGAGGGGGAGGGUCGGACCGCACGCUAGGAGAUGAGCCUAGGUCGGAUUAGCUAGUUGGUGGGGUAAAGGCCUACCAAGGCGACGAUCGGUAAGUGGUCUGAGAGGAUGAGAAGUCACACUGGAGGUUGGACGCGCUCCAUGCUCCUGCGGGACGCAGCAGUGGGGAAUAUUGGACAGUGGGCGAAAGCCUGGUCCAGCGAUGCCGCGCGUGUGAAGGCGGCCUUCCGAUUGUAAAGCCCGUUUACUUGUGGGGAACGGCAGUAAGUUAAUACCAUGCUGUUUUGACGUUACCAACAGAAUAAGCACCGGCUAACUUCGUG